GACAGAGGGUGCAAACGUUGUUCGGAAUUACUGGGCGUAAAGCGUGCGCAGGCGGCUUCUCAAGUCAGGGGUGAAAGCCCAGAGCUCAACUCUGGAAUUGCCUUUGAGACUGAGUGGCUUGAGUACGAGAGAGGUGAGUGGAAUUCCCAGUGUAGAGGUGAAAUUCGUAGAUAUUGGGAAGAACACCGGUGGCGAAGGCGGCUCACUGGCUCGUAACUGACGCUCAUGCACGACAGCGUGGGGAUCAAACAGG
RNAcentral lists this ribosomal RNA (253 nucleotides) under uncultured bacterium. RNAcentral's name for it is "partial 16S ribosomal RNA". It matches the Rfam family "Bacterial small subunit ribosomal RNA", at positions 524 to 776 of the family's 1533-position model. The record is from RNAcentral.